RNAcentral lists this ribosomal RNA (460 nucleotides) under uncultured bacterium. RNAcentral's name for it is "partial 16S ribosomal RNA". It matches the Rfam family "Bacterial small subunit ribosomal RNA", at positions 338 to 795 of the family's 1533-position model. The record is from RNAcentral.
CCUACGGGUGGCAGCAGUGAGGAAUAUUGGUCAAUGGACGAGAGUCUGAACCAGCCAAGUAGCGUGAAGGAUGACUGCCCUAUGGGUUGUAAACUUCUUUUAUAUGGGAAUAAAAUGUUCCACGUGUGGGAUUUUGUAUGUACCAUAUGAAUAAGGAUCGGCUAACUCCGUGCCAGCAGCCGCGGUAAUACGGAGGAUCCGAGCGUUAUCCGGAUUUAUUGGGUUUAAAGGGAGCGUAGGUGGAUUGUUAAGUCAGUUGUGAAAGUUUGCGGCUCAACCGUAAAAUUGCAGUUGAAACUGGCAGUCUUGAGUACAGUAGAGGUGGGCGGAAUUCGUGGUGUAGCGGUGAAAUGCUUAGAUAUCACGAAGAACUCCGAUUGCGAAGGCAGUUCACUGGACUGCAACUGACACUGAGGCUCGAAAGUGUGUGUAUCAAACAGGAUUAGAUACCCUAGUAGUC